CCUACGGGUGGCAGCAGUGAGGAAUAUUGGUCAAUGGACGAGAGUCUGAACCAGCCAAGUAGCGUGAAGGAUGACUGCCCUAUGGGUUGUAAACUUCUUUUAUAUGGGAAUAAAAUGUUCCACGUGUGGGAUUUUGUAUGUACCAUAUGAAUAAGGAUCGGCUAACUCCGUGCCAGCAGCCGCGGUAAUACGGAGGAUCCGAGCGUUAUCCGGAUUUAUUGGGUUUAAAGGGAGCGUAGGUGGAUUGUUAAGUCAGUUGUGAAAGUUUGCGGCUCAACCGUAUAAUUGCAGUUGAAACUGGCAGUCUUGAGUACAGUAGAGGUGGGCGGAAUUCGUGGUGUAGCGGUGAAAUGCUUAGAUAUCACGAAGAACUCCGAUUGCGAAGGCAGUUCACUGGACUGCAACUGACACUGAGGCUCGAAAGUGUGGGUAUCAAACAGGAUUAGAUACCCUUGUAGUC
This 460-nucleotide ribosomal RNA is filed under the name uncultured bacterium. RNAcentral describes it as "partial 16S ribosomal RNA". It matches the Rfam family "Bacterial small subunit ribosomal RNA", at positions 338 to 795 of the family's 1533-position model. The record is from RNAcentral.